This 143-nucleotide unclassified non-coding RNA is filed under the name Flavobacterium succinicans. RNAcentral's name for it is "Flavo-1 RNA". The record is from RNAcentral. Lineage: Bacteria; Pseudomonadati; Bacteroidota; Flavobacteriia; Flavobacteriales; Flavobacteriaceae.
GUAUAGCCCAGAUAAAAGCGAAAAGCCCACAGCUCUGGGGUUUAAUUUUUGCUGGUGCAUCAAAGCGACUAAAAGAAGCUCUUGAGGCGCCUUGUAAAAAUAAACUCCAGGGCGAGGACUUGUAGUGGAUAGCUGGAUGGGCU